GGCUCCGUAGCUCAACUGAAUAGAGCACUUGACUACGGAUCAAGAGGUUCAAGGCUUGAAUCCUUGCGGAGUCACUA
This 77-nucleotide transfer RNA is filed under the name Segatella copri. RNAcentral's name for it is "Prevotella copri tRNA-Arg". It matches the Rfam family "tRNA". Rfam says of the family: Transfer RNA (tRNA) molecules are approximately 80 nucleotides in length. The record is from RNAcentral. Lineage: Bacteria; Pseudomonadati; Bacteroidota; Bacteroidia; Bacteroidales; Prevotellaceae.